AGAGUUUGAUCAUGGCUCAGAGUGAACGUUGGCGGCGUGCCUAACACAUGCAAGUCGAACGAAAACCGAGGAGCUUGCUCCUCGGGGUCAGUGGCGAACGGGUGAGUAACACGUGAGUAAUCUGCCCUUGAGUGGGGAAUAACUCCGCGAAAGCGGAGCUAAUACCGCAUAAUACUCUGCAGCUUAAGCUGUCAGAGUCAAAGCCUUCGGGCGCUUAAGGAUGAGCUUGCGGCCUAUUAGCUUGUUGGUAGGGUAAUGGCCUACCAAGGCUUUGAUGGGUAGCCGGCCUGAGAGGGCGAUCGGCCACACUGGAACUGCGACACGGUCCAGACUCCUACGGGAGGCAGCAGUGGGGAAUUUUGCGCAAUGGGCGAAAGCCUGACGCAGCGACGCCGCGUGGAGGAAUAAGGCCUUCGGGUUGUAAACUCCUGUCAGAGGUGAAGAAUGUCCUAUGGACUUGACGGUAACCUCAGAGGAAGCCCCGGCUAACUACGUGCCAGCAGCCGCGGUAAUACGUAGGGGGCAAACGUUGCUCGGAAUUACUGGGCGUAAAGGGUGUGUAGGUGGCAGAGUAAGUCAAGGAUGAAAUCCCGAGGCUUAACUUCGGAACUGUCCCUGAAACUGCUCAGCUUGAGGGUAGUUGAGGAAAACGGAAUUCCCGGUGGAGCGGUGAAAUGCGUAGAUAUCGGGAGGAACACCAGAGGCGAAGGCGGUUUUCUGAGCUAUUCCUGACACUGAGACACGAAAGCUAGGGGAGCGAACGGGAUUAGAUACCCCGGUAGUCCUAGCCGUAAACGAUGGGCACUAGAUGUUCCCACUUAUGUGGGAGUGUCGCAGUUAACGCAUUAAGUGCCCCGCCUGGGGAGUACGGUCGCAAGGCUA
RNAcentral lists this ribosomal RNA (882 nucleotides) under uncultured bacterium. Its description in RNAcentral is "bacterial SSU rRNA". It matches the Rfam family "Bacterial small subunit ribosomal RNA", at positions 8 to 896 of the family's 1533-position model. The record is from RNAcentral.